UUUUUUCCCAGCAAGCUGCGCGCCCGGUCGGGCCUCAUCCCUUUUGUGCCAUCCGGGUCUCUCGCGCAAGAGAUUUAGUCUGUGGCGAAGCUUCGAGGCGGCCAGUACUGUUGAGUGCGACAAGCAGAGGCGCCGCCUUAGCGGCCUGGACUCAAAAACAAUGGCGGCUAUUGAUACAGAACGAGAUGGAUUAGCCCCAGAAAAGACAUCGCCAGAUAGAGAAAAGAAGAAAGAACAGUCAGAUAUAUCUGUUUCUCCUAGAGCCUCAAAACAUCAUUAUUCAAGGUCGAGGUCAAGGUCAAGAGAAAGAAAACGAAAGUCAGAUAAUGAUGGGAGAAAGCACAGGAGCCGGAGCAGAAGCAAAGAGGCAAGAAGACAUGAAUCCAAAGAUAAGUCCUCUAAGAGACACAAGUCUGAGGAGCACAAUGACAAAGAACAUUCUUCUGACAAAGGAAGAGAGCGAUUAAAUUCAUCUGAGAAUGGUGAGGACAGACAUAAACGCAAAGAAAGGAAGUCGUCACGGGGCAGAAGUCACUCGAGGUCUAGAUCUCGUGAGAGGCGCCAUCGCAGUAGAAGCAGGGAAAGGAAGAAGUCUCGGUCAAGGAGUAGGGAUCGGAAAAAAUCUCGAUCCAGAAGCAGAGACAGGAAGAAGUCAAGAUCCAGAAGCAGGGAUAGAAAACGGAGGAUCAGAACACGUUCCCGGUCAAGAUCCAGACACAGGCAUAGGACUAGAAGCAGGAGCAGAUCACGGAGUCGAAGUCGAGAUAGAAAGAAGAGAAUCGAAAAACCAAGAAGAUUUAGCAGAAGCCUAAGCCGGACACCUAGUCCGCCUCCCUUCAGAGGCAGAAACACAGCAAUGGAUGCCCAAGAAGCACUAGCUAGGAGAUUAGAAAGGGCAAAGAAAUUACAAGAACAACGAGAAAAGGAAAUGGUUGAAAAACAAAAACAACAAGAAAUGGCUGCAGCUGCAGCCACUGGAGGUUCUGUUCUUAAUGUUGCUGCACUCUUGGCAUCGGGAACGCAAGUUACUCCUCAGAUAGCUAUGGCAGCUCAAAUGGCAGCCCUGCAAGCUAAGGCCUUGGCAGAGACUGGCAUAGCUGUGCCCAGCUACUAUAACCCAGCAGCUGUGAAUCCCAUGAAAUUUGCUGAGCAAGAGAAAAAGAGGAAAAUGCUCUGGCAAGGCAAGAAAGAAGGCGACAAAUCUCAGUCUGCUGAAAUAUGGGAAAAAUUGAAUUUUGGAAACAAGGACCAAAAUGUCAA
This 1260-nucleotide long non-coding RNA is filed under the name Rattus norvegicus (Norway rat). RNAcentral's name for it is "long non-coding RNA NONRATT007488". The record is from RNAcentral. Lineage: Eukaryota; Metazoa; Chordata; Mammalia; Rodentia; Muridae.